Molecule: long non-coding RNA, 6487 nt
Organism: Gasterosteus aculeatus aculeatus (three-spined stickleback)
Lineage: Eukaryota; Metazoa; Chordata; Actinopteri; Perciformes; Gasterosteidae
Source: Ensembl
GCGGCGGAGACGACGUUCCUGUCCUCCCUUAAAACAAGCCGUCAAAGCGACGCGGACGCCGCUCCUCAAGCCCUCGAGAAGAGUCCACGUGCUCCCGCGCGUCGCAUCGAGGGCCGACUGGGAGCCACGGAGACCAACCGGUGACGUAGGGGCAGUUCUUUGCAUCAGUGACAGAUCCCUUUCAUAUUGUACCUCCCCCCUCAGAAUGCUGAAUGCUGAAUUUCCCCUUUUAUGAUAUAAAAAUGUUCAGGAUUCAAGUGGUUUCUCCUCUCGCACACCGGCCCCACAGAGCCUCCCUGUGCCGUGUGCUCGGCUGGCCAGUGUGCCGAGUGUCUCGGGGGCUCAGCUCAGGCUUCAGCCGGCCACGGCCACCUGAACUGCUUUCUCCAUUGUGACCCCAGGCGGCACGCGGGCUGCUGCUUCAUUAGGUCGCUGCACCACCUCUAGCCAGGAGGGGAUUUGAAGGCAGGUCCAGUCUGGAUUACCAUAUGGCUCCUCUUGGUCCACGCUGUCAUGAAAUAUGAAUCCAACGCCAAGACUACUGCUCCUAACGCGCUCAGGAGUGUCACACAUAUACGGCCCGACACAGUGGGAGCUCCGGGCGCAUGGAUGUUGCAAAGAUUUCAUCACGCUUGGAAGGCAGGAGUUUUCAUAUUGUGAGUUGCUGGGUCCACGGCGGCGUCCUCUUUGUUUACCUUGGCUCGGUCCGCAUUGUCCUCAUCUCGUCCAGCGCGCAAAACAGACGGGAAAAGGUGUUGGAAAAAUUGCCUUUUGGGGAAAGCUCGUGAAAAUAUUCUCGUUCUCCAUUCACACCCCCUAAAUUAAUGCAGAUUAAUUCAAAUCAAAGGCCUUUGUGGAAACUGCACCUGCAAACAUUUGACUUUUUCACUGCAGAGACACAAUCUGUGUGUCAGGUAAGGAAGUGGUUUAAUCUCUUCAGGCCCAGAGGUGGCUUAAGUGGCAGAGACCAGAUGGUGGAAUCAACAUGCCCGGGAGGCAAACACCGACUGACAAGACAGCCGAGAGUCUUCCAUGAUGAAGUGUGUGCAUUUGAUUUCCCCACUCAUCCCUCUCUCAAACCGGGUUGUUCAAUAUUUUCCAUGAGCAACGAGUCAAAUGAAUGAAAAUGUGCACCGAAAAUAAAUUCACCAUUAAGCGGUCGCGUCGCUCGAUUCCGUCUGUCUGCGUGAUGGACGAGUGCAACAGCUUUCGGAUUCAACUUGACGAACCUCUUCAGUGACAUUUCUGAAAAACAAUAUCCUGAACUGCCGGCCGAAGCGGUGGGACAACCUUCGGGGUGUUGAAUGUCACCAUCUGUCGAGGACCUGCUUAGUCAAAGUCAUUACGGCACGUGGAGUGGAGCUCCUGCUCAUGAGGGCCGCGCUUUAUUGCACAGAAGCUCAGGUGGACCCUGAUCGGAUUUCAGAGGCUCAGUGGGCCGUCGGUGGGAGCGCGUGGUUUCACAUUAUCCACUUCUAAUUGUUGGGCGCACCCAACAAUCCGCUCUGUAAAACACUUGAUUUUUAUUGAUUUAUUUGGCCAAUUAGAUAUCACAUAGUAAAACUACUGUGUUUGUCCGUAAAACAACUUACUGCAAAACAAACGCUAAAGAUGUCUUCUAUUCCUAAUGCUACGGCAGUUGGAUCAAACUCCGCCGUACCUGCGUAGAUUUGACCUUUUCUCAGGAAUUUACAGUCUGCUUAUUAAUCACGAAGCCGCAGCAGCAGAUUUUUUUUUUUUUAUGGCUACUCUGAUAAACUCAACACGCUAACGCACGUUUCUGCAAACAUCUGUCUGCUAUCCAGCUGACGCGACAACUUUCACAUGCACUUUAGUUGUGGAGCUCUUCUCGGUCACCUUGACCAGCUACAAUUUAUUUAUUUCACACUCAAUCCGCUUCGGUUCAGUCAGCUAAAACAGCCCUAAGGUGUACAUUACACGUGGUCUUUUAAUCCCUUUGUAAUAAAAGUAUGUGCGUCCACGGACCACAGCAGUCCAGCGCUUUGAGAUGCUGCGAUUGGUUCCGUCAGACUCGACGUGGUGAGCAGAGUUUGAUUAAGUUUCCUGGUGUCGGCGUUCGCUCUGCGGGGCGCUGCGUCGUUCAUCCCCGCCUCAGGUGUCUGUCACACACCAGCAGGAUGCGUCGAUUCGCCGUAGCCAAACAUAUCUCCGAGCAGAUAGUUCCACCGGGGGGGGGGUUAUUGUGUUCCUCAAAACCAACUCUCAGCCAUGGCAUCCCGCUUGAUGUGCCUCUCAGGUGGCCUUCAUAUUGCCUGAAUGGAUUUUGAGCGGUGAUGUGGAACGAUUCCUUUGAGAAUGACGCCCUUUCAAAUGAAGAUAAAGUCAUUAGACAGCAGCAGCUGUCCUUGGAUCUUUGCUUUUUCCUCAACUGCGCUGGAUGAAAACGGUGUGCCGCGUGUGUUUCAAGAUGCUCUUAGGAGUGAUGCUCAUUCUCAGCGUGUUCGCAUUAAGAGCUGUUUUUCUCCAUUACUGCUUAAGGACAGUUGUCAGUUUGCCACUUGUCAAAUUUAGUUGGAUCUUUUCAGAUGAACCUUCAUCAACUUUGAAUAUUGACAUUUUAAAAGGCCCCUCGCCAACAUUCGUCCUCAUGCACACACGGGCACCGAUUGCACGGCUCAUUUCUCGAAUGACUGCGGAACGUAUGCAGCCUCCCACCGAGUGGAUGUAUUUACACGCACCUCGUCUCGUCUCGGGGAUUCCUGCCUGGCGCUCUGGCAUUCUGGCGAUUUGUUACAACCUGGCACAGAGUCUACGUCGUACCUGGAUGUGUCUGCUGUAUCUCCUCAUGCAGAAUGGCUUCUGCUGUCCCACAGGUCUGCAACAUGCUCGUCUCUACAGGUGCAGCCGGCGCCGUUGGCUUGGAGGAGGAGGAGGAGGAGGAGGAGUGGAACAAAUGUGGUUCUGUUUUUUUGGUUAACCUUUUGAUUUAACAAAAGCACGUCAAUACCCUUCUAACUGUUUGUUUGGUUUGGAAUCACACGUUUGGACACGUCACAGAAAAUAUUGUGAUUGAGAAAUUCUUCAGGUUUUAAAUGUAACGGUGUAAACGUCUCUUGUAUUUUUGUUGUUUUGUGAAAGGGGCCAAAUGAUUUGGACAACAUGGAAGUCGAAUUAAGCUAUUAUUGUUUUCCGGUACUGAAUUUGGAUCUUGGCGAGCACAGAUUGUUCCCUUUACUCGUUCUCUGAAGUGAAUUCUAUUUGUGUCGUGCGUUUUGAUGACCCAAUGUCCUUUUUAUCUUACUACUCAACAUAUUUAAGCAACACUAUAAAAUGCACCACAACAAUCUGUCCACUGACUUUGAGAUUCAAAGGAAACCCUUUGAUGCUACAGCAUGAAGUCUGCUUUCAUGAUUAACCAAAGUAAAAUAUCUGACCCGAAACACGUACAGACAUUUUGGUAUUUUGAUUUCUGCGUCCGGGUACGCUAGCGACUCCUGGCACAACCAGAGCAGGUCCAUAAAAGAGAGGACUCCCCAGUUUGGAUGUCGAAGAACUAGUCCACACAGAACCUCGACCCUGUCCAGCCCGUCUGGCGCCGACGGGAAGACCGCCGCCGAUAGACAAAGCGUCAGAGCUGGACCGUUGAAUGCGUUGAAUGGGAGCCAGAAGAGCGCAGGCUGUCACAGCAGAUUAAUACCCAUGAACGUGUGGGUGCCAUGUUCAGGUCUCUACAGAUUAAUACCCAUGAACGUGUGGGUGCCAUGUUCAGGUGUCCACAGAUUUAAACCCAUGAACGUGUGGGUGCCAUGUUCAGGUCUCCACACACCUCGCAGCCUUUUGUUUCUAAUUGCAAUGCACCGUUGUAAAAGUCGACGCUCUCCUUUUCCCCCUCCCAGUUUCUCUCUGUCCUCCGUACGUCUCGCUGAAUAUGUUCAUUUCACAGUGCUGAAGGACUUGUGCUCUCAGUGAAUUUUUUUUAUUUUGUAUGGGGCGAGAGGCUUUGUGUUUGCACAGUUUCAACAAACGCACCAAGAAAACCAGCCGAGGAGCCCGGAUGAUGUGAGAAAGCCUCCCAGGACGAGGCGGCGAGGGAGCGCGGCGGUGGGUAAAAUGAAAGCAUCGCUGUUCGCAUUCAGACAGACGGAUGGCUAAACACGCAGGUGAGUCACGUCCGGAGGAGACGACGCGGGGGGAUCUCAGUGUGCAGGUGAAUGUGCUGAACGGAGAGCAGCAGCACAAUGUUGACAACUGAAAUAAUUUGGUUUCCAGUGCAGCUUCAUCCGUUUUGAUCAUUUUCUUGUAGCAUUUGUCACAAGAUGGCUUGCUGGUUUAUUGUCACAACAGGCAUCCUGAAGUGUAUUUCUUCCACUCAGUCUGAGGAAAAACCUGCAGGAGAGUUUCAGGAGGGUGUAGAGAAUGCAACAUUCAGAUCCACAGUAACAUCACUACAAAACACUGCAGCUUAAUUCUGACAAAUGCUCUUCUGUUCAUUAAGAAUUGAUAAAAAUUGAUAAAAAAGCUACUUGAGGAUUUAAGACAUCAUCCCUCUGUUAACUUACUCAUCAGCAAGUAUUAGAAAAGUAAGGGUAAAUCUUUUCUGACGUCUCAUAUUUCGGCGCCGUAUUCUUUGCCUCCACUUUUCUCUUAACAUUUCUACCUCGCGCCCUCGACGUUGGGGAGGCUUUUGACCUGCGACACGCGCAGCCGAUGCUUUCACAAUGUCAGACGCAGAAGCGGCGUGAAAGCCGCCACAGUUCAGGUUGGUUUGCCGAGGCCGGAACCUAAGUGGCUGCUUUUCAUGGGAGCACUUAGCCGUGAAGUCAAUAUGACUCAGCCUGCCCCUCCGACUUGGCACGUCAAAGUAAGUGAGCACACGGGUCCUUAAAGAGGCUUCGACGUGAUGUUUCCACCGCCUCCCUGCCAGCCUCGGUCGGCCCUAUUAAUUGAUCCAGUUAAAUAAAGAGCAUCAGUCGGUCCGCCGGGACCGGAACGCUUUCAAGUCCUUCUGACAAUCAGUAGAAAAUCCCUUUUGAUUUCUUCCGUUUAUGUGCAUGACUUGUGAUAAUUACGUCGCACAAUUACCUUGAACUGGGCGUCGUUUGAGACGUUGCGCUCAGGUGAAACCUCGUUACCCCAACGCGGCAUUCCGCCCACCGGAACGCUGCAUCUAAUCUUAAAAAGCUGAACCGGAGUGAGUCUGUAUUGAUUGGGAGCGCUGAGAGCAACAACGGGCGCUUUACCCACUAAUGGGAUUGUGUUCUUUGUUUGAACACAGACGCACACCUCUGACAUGACUUCGUUUCAUUUGCAAUCAAACGGGCGGUUUCCGCCGGCGUCGCGGUGAGUCGGCCCUCUAAUGUGAGCCAAGCCCCAAGCGCUCCUCCGUUGUUGCCGCGCCGCCGCAAUUAAAUUAAAUGUUCUAAUUUCACCCAACACUUGUUGAGAUUGUUGUCUGCGAUUUUCUUUUUAUUUCGAAUUUCUUACUCUGAUUGUUUGGUCUCCGAGCAGCUCCGAUCGCCUCGAGUAGUAAAGUGUCACUCUUCAUGCUUCAUCUUACUGAAGCCCGAUGAAAUGCACGCGGAGAGGCAGAAGCUGGAUUCUAUUAAAAGUUUUUAACGCUUGAUUGUAUCCUUGAUGGCGUUGAAAAAGGAGUCUCUGAGGGCGAAUAUUACUCCAUCGUGCUGCUGCCGCUCGGGCCAAAUGGUGUCAAUUAGUAAUCAAUUGAGAAUCCGCUGUCCUUUGUUGGCGCGGCAGUAAUCACAGACGUCGUAGAUCACGUUUGUCUCCAUCGGGGCGUCUGGAUGCUUUUCUUCUUCUCUGGUUCUCAACAGUUGAUGCACUACAUGAGAUCUAUAUUUAUAUUCAUCAUGUCGAUAUGCAGGACCUGUUUGACAUUAAAUAUCAAUUUAAAUCAAUGCUGCUUUUUAGAUGACCAAUAAUGUAUUAUUAUAUGUUCAGCUCCCGAAGGCUUCAGCUGACGUUUCUUAUUAUGUCUAUUCUAUAUCUGUCUAUUUUACACAAAUACGACGUUGUCAUGGAACAGCUUGAGGGGGCCGAAUCCGGCCUGGUUGAGUCUUUUCAUUUGGCUUUUUACCAGAACAUGUUUGCCUAUGUUAAUAUUGCAGAACCCACUAUUUGUUGUUUUAUUAUAUUAUAUAUAUAUAUACGCCUGUAUUCAUGUCUCCAACAUGUUGUAAACCGUACAAAUAUAUCUGAAGAAUGAAGUGUCUUCAUGUCAAAGACUUCUUCUAAUCAAGCGUGUACAUAGAUACAAAUCAUCACUGCUUGUAUCAUGUUGUUAUCUUAUCCCGAAUAGCAAUGACUAAAUAUCAUUUAGAAACUGAUGGAAAAUAAAACAACAAAAGAAUCAGCUUUUAAUAUUUCACAAAUGCGUAAAUCUUCUUUCACUGAGUGGAAGGAGAAUUCUACGGGAAGCGUUUUAAUGGUCCCACACUUCCUCUCAUGUCAGCUGAAGAGCCCCAACUCCACUUCUGCUGGAUUCCAUGGAUGGGUCCAUCUCCUAAUG